CCUACGGGAUGCACCAGUGGGGAAUAUUGCACAAUGGGCGCAAGCCUGAUGCAGCCAUGCCGCGUGUGUGAAGAAGGCCUUCGGGUUGUAAAGCACUUUCAGCGGGGAGGAAGGCGUUAGGUUAAUAACCUUGGCGAUUGACGUUACCCGCAGAAGAAGCACCGGCUAACUCCGUGCCAGCAGCCGCGGUACUACGGAGGGUGCAAGCGUUAAUCGGAAUUACUGGGCGUAAAGCGCACGCAGGCGGCCUGUCAAGUCGGAUGUGAAAUCCCCGGGCUCAACCUGGGAACUGCAUUCGAAACUGGCAGGCUAGAGUCUUGUAGAGGGGGGUAGAAUUCCAGGUGUAGCGGUGAAAUGCGUAGAGAUCUGGAGGAAUACCGGUGGCGAAGGCGGCCCCCUGGACAAAGACUGACGCUCAGGUGCGAAAGCGUGGGGAGCAAACAGGAUUAGAUACCCUCGUAGUC
RNAcentral lists this ribosomal RNA (464 nucleotides) under uncultured bacterium. Its description in RNAcentral is "bacterial SSU rRNA". It matches the Rfam family "Bacterial small subunit ribosomal RNA", at positions 338 to 795 of the family's 1533-position model. The record is from RNAcentral.